CAGUCGAACGGAUAUCUUCGGAUAUGAGUGGCGAACGGGUGAGUAACACGUAGGGAACCUGCCUGCAUGAGCGGGAGAACUUCUGGAAACGGAAGCUGAUACCGGAUGAGCAAAGAGGAGGCAUCUUCUUUUUGGAAAAGGGGACAAGAGUCCCGCAUGCAGAUGGACCUGCGGUGCAUUAGCUGGUUGGAGGGGUAACGGCUCACCAAGGCGACGAUGCAUAGCCGGCCUGAGAGGGCGGACGGCCACACUGGGACUGAGACACGGCCCAGACUCCUGCGGGAGGCAGCAGUAGGGAAUUUUCGUCAAUGGGGGGAACCCUGAACGAGCAAUGCCGCGUGAGCGAGGAAGGUCUUCGGAUCGUAAAGCUCUGUUGCCGGGGACAAAAGGCAGAAAGAGUGGAAAGCUUUCUGAGUGAUGGUACCCGGCGAGGAAGUCACGGCUAACUACGUGCCAGCAGCCGCGGUAAUACGUAGGUGGCGAGCGUUAUCCGGAAUGAUUGGGCGUAAAGGGUGCGCAGGCGGCCGGGCAAGUCCGCAGUAAAAACUGGAGGCUCAACCUUCAGGGGCUGCGGAAACUGUCCGGCUGGAGAGCAGGAGAGGACGGUGGAACUCCAUGUGUAGCGGUAAAAUGCGUAGAUAUAUGGAAGAACACCGGUGGCGAAGGCGGCCGUCUGGCCUGCAUCUGACGCUGAGGCACGAAAGCGUGGGGAGCAAAUAGGAUUAGAUACCCUAGUAGUCCACGCUG
This 747-nucleotide ribosomal RNA is filed under the name uncultured bacterium. Its description in RNAcentral is "bacterial SSU rRNA". It matches the Rfam family "Bacterial small subunit ribosomal RNA", at positions 59 to 802 of the family's 1533-position model. The record is from RNAcentral.